GCGCGGGUGGCGGAAUAGGUAGACGCGCUAGCUUGAGGUGCUAGUGGCCCCAACGGGCCGUGGAAGUUCAAGUCUUCUCUCGCGCA
This 86-nucleotide transfer RNA is filed under the name Propionibacteriaceae bacterium. Its description in RNAcentral is "tRNA-Leu". It matches the Rfam family "tRNA". From Rfam's summary of the family: Transfer RNA (tRNA) molecules are approximately 80 nucleotides in length. Their secondary structure includes four short double-helical elements and three loops (D, anti-codon, and T loops). Lineage: Bacteria; Bacillati; Actinomycetota; Actinomycetes; Propionibacteriales; Propionibacteriaceae. The record is from RNAcentral.